RNA transcript from Hirundo rustica (Barn swallow), 4365 nucleotides. It is a transcript of the gene named TOP1 binding arginine/serine rich protein, E3 ubiquitin ligase, with no coding region annotated. The transcript is spliced from 4 exons. NCBI's taxonomy places the organism in Eukaryota, Metazoa, Chordata, Aves, Passeriformes, Hirundinidae. The record is from RefSeq and is a predicted model, not a curated record.
AUGGCGGACCCGGCCCGGCGCCUGGCGGAGGGCGCCCGCCGCCGCCGCCCUCCAGGGGAGGAGCGGCGGGAGCCUCCCGGCACCGGGCGCUGCCGUUCGCGCCACAGGCUGAAGGCGGCCGCGGCCCUGGCCCGCACGGGAAGCGAGGGCCCGCCGGCGACCAUGACUUCAGAUAAGGAGUUUGCAGAAGAUAGCAAUUUUUCACCAAAAGCCAGCACCAGUAAGCUGCCAACAGAUGCGUCUCCAGACUCCAAAUGCCCCAUCUGCCUGGACAGAUUUGACAAUGUUGCAUAUCUGGACCGCUGCUUGCAUAGGUUCUGCUUCCGCUGUGUCCAAGAAUGGUCAAAAAACAAAGCAGAAUGCCCGCUCUGCAAGCAACCCUUUUUUUCCAUUUUCCAUACGAUUCGUGCUGAAGAUGACUUUAAGGAGUACAUACUCAGCCCUUUAGAAACUAGCUCUUUUGCCAGCCCUGAUGGCCGGAGAUUUCGUUAUCGUACUACCUUAACAAGGGAACGCCGCACGCGCAGUUCUCCUUCCCGAAGGAUGCUGUCCCCUCCAGAUAACGGGAUGUUGUUUGAAGGGCUGUCAAGUGGGCCAACACGACACAGACACAGAGAGAUUCAGCAAAUGAUCAGGAGGCUGGCCUCAAGGAGAAAGGCUAGCGCGGAGGGCAGAUCUCUGCGACAGAUUCAGGAGGAGGACAUGAUCAACUUCCGCAGGGCUCUGUACCGCACUGGCGUGCGCAUCCGCAGCAUUCAGGAUGGUGGCCGAUACCGAGAGAUUUCGGCAGAGUUCUUUCGCCGCAACCCUGCUUGCCUUCACCGGUUGGUUCCUUGGUUGAAGCGAGAACUUACAGUCCUGUUUGGUGCCCACGGAUCUUUGAUCAAUAUUGUGCAGCACAUAAUCAUGAGCAACGUAACUAGAUAUGAUCUGGAAAGUCCAGCCUUUGCCGAUGAUUUAAAGCCAUUUUUGCUGAAUCGGACAGAACACUUCCUGCAUGAAUUCAUCAGUUUUGCUCGUUGUCCUUUUAACUUAGAAGCAUAUGAUCAACAUGCCAAUUAUGACUGUCCUGCACCAUCAUAUGAGGAAGGAAGCCACUCAGACUCCUCAAUUAUUACAAUAUCUCCAGAUGUGGCGUACCCGCAAGGGCCAGAGAAUAGUUUGUCUGUACCUGGUCUUGGUCAGGCCCCCUGGGAUGAUGAAACUCCAGGGCCUUCCUAUUCCAUUUCAGAAGAGGUUCGUGCAACCAUAGCUUCUCCUCUGGAGUCAUCAGAAAGUUCUGAUGAGGACUCUGCAUCAGGGAGUCGAAGAACUAAACUGCAAACUGAGUUACAGGCUAAUGCUGACUCAAAUGACAGUGGCUCUUCCUCAGACAAUUGUGUCAUUGUCGGGUAUGUUAAGCCAUUAGCUGAGAGGACACCGGAAGUGGUUGAGCUGUCCUCUAACUCUGAGGAGUCCAUCAAGGAAGAGAAAAGGGAAGAUGUCAAGAAACAGCAACCGGUCCAGUGUCACAGCUGGAGUGACAGUGAACCGAGCAGGAGCUUCUCACCCCAUUCCCCUACAUAUAGGGAAGAUAUAGGAAGUUGUAGAAGCUAUUUAUCUCCUGCAGUUGAGAAGAGGGAAUCAAAAGAAGAUGAGAAGAACAAAUAUAAAAGAAAAGAUCUGCCUUCACAGGACUUGAGUUGGAGCCCCUCUCCAGGGAGUGACACAGUAUGCUCCCCUUGGAAUCACAGAUUUUCUAAAAAGGGAAAGUCCAGAAGCCCACAGUCCUGUUCACGGGACAGUCGAGGCAGUCAUGGCCAUCGGUCUAGAAGGGAGCACCGUAGCAAAAGCCAGCCUAAAAGGAGACGAUCAAGAAGCAGAUAUAGUAGCAAACAUAGGAGCAAAAGAAGCAACAGAAGGUCAAGGGCACAUGACACCAGAGCCUCUCUGAAAAGCCAGAGGGGCUCUUUAAGCGGUGAGAGCACUCCAUCCAGAGAAGUGAGCAGAUCACGUUCACGUAGCAAAGGGCACAGUAAAAGGAGAUCAAGAAGCAGAGACAGCGAUCGCUAUUAUGUAAGAGACAGUUACCAGACUAGACACCAGUGGGGUUCUGCUUUCUGUAGUCGAAAGGUAUUUGGAGACAGCUAUGAAUCCUCCAGCAGAAGGAGGAUCCGGUCUAACACGCUUUACUCAAGGCAAUCUGCUAGUCCAGAAUACAGGAUACGAUCAUUUAUUGAGAGGACAGAUCUUCAUAGCCAGAGGGGACUCCAUGAGAGACACUAUUACUGUUAUGAAAGAUGCAGGUCAAGGAGUCGGUCAAGCAACAGAUCAAGGACUCCUUCUGGAGGAGCUGACAGAACAAAAAGUGAAAAGCCUGGUGGAAAAAGGAAAUACAAAACUCGCCACCUGGAGAAUCCAUUCAUGGAGAGCACAAGUCUAGAAAGAGAAAAUGACUCCAAGAAAACUUCCUCAAAAUUUGGUGACUGCUGCAAAAAUGAGGAUAGCCUGUUAGACAAUCAUGCAAGCAGUGAGACAAAGCAUAAGAAAAGGAAGAAGAAGAUGAGGAGUCCAAGUGUUGAGAUAAUCUAUGAAGGAAAAGCAACAGACACAACAAGGCAUCUUAAAAAGAAAAAGAAAAAGCAUAAGAAGAAACACCGGAAACAUCACACAAGUAACUCCGUACAUUCUUCUCCGGUGGUGAUCACAAUUGAUAGUGAUAGUAGCAAGGAGCCAGAAAGUACCGAAUGGGACAGCAGUAUUACAUGGACAGGCACAACUCAGAUAAAUGCGAGGGAAAAUGAGUCUCCAUCUUCUUUUCUGAGGAGGACAGGAUGUGAGGAAGCUGGAGGAGUAGACAAAAAAUAUGGUAUCCCUGCCACAAGGGAAAACAUAGAUGGUGGCAUUAGAAAUGCUGAUGUCAAACUUCAAGAAACAGCAGCUGAUCAGAGUGUUGCCAUAGUGAAUACCAGCAGUAACACCUCUCACACAGAAACUGUAAACAGUUAUGUUCAGGAAGCACCAGAAGCACCUUCCAGGCCACUGCCUUCCCCCAGGACUUCCUUCCUAGAGUGUCCAGAGAGAGAGCCAUUGAUACUAAGACUGCCAAAGAGACUUGUCAAUAGAUCCUCGUGGUUUGAUUUCCCAGAAGAAAAAAUGUAGUAGACUUUCCUUGGAACACUUGUUAAAACUGUGAAUUUAACACUUUUUUUCCUCUUGAGAUCUAAAAUGUCUGUUAGAGCUUCUUUCUGUUUAAAAGAUGUCUAGGAAAUGCAUAAAACUUUUGAAUGUGUAUGCACUUUUAAGUCAAAGACGAUAGAAUAUUGCUAGUAUGUAACUCUUAAAGUAUAUUAGAGGAUUGUUUGGAAGUUUUAAUUUCAUAAAGCCAUCCACAGAGUAUUUCAAAGUUUUGUGUAAACCCAACAACAGAAAAGGAGCCCAAAACCAGAGCCAGGAAAAGCAUUUUUAUGGGGAUUGCUCUUAGACAAGGGAAACAUUGCUUAGUUCAUAAAAAGUGAUUCAGUCUGAAUUCCAGCAUCAUUUCAAUCUCUUUGGUUUAAGCUGAUCUCUGCUGAAAAGUAGUUAGUGAUUUCUGCAGAAAUUUUCAAAGGACUUUGAGUAAUUUUAAGGGGCCUUUUCUACAGGUGUGCAGUACUUCCAAAACAGAUUGCUCCAGCUGCCAGGAAAUGUGUUCCUGUGUGUGCUCCUAAGCAAAGGCUGCAACUCCUGACAGGAGCCUGUUCCUGUCUGAGAUCUCCAUGGGCUGUAGCUUCCAUCAGGACAUCUCUACAUGCUCCAGAGUGGAGCUUUUCCAUGGGCCGCAGGUAGUUUUCCUUUGUGAUGGGUAAUUUCCAGACCUCCUGCUUCAGUUGGUACAGUUGAAAACUCUGCACGAACCACAGAGAUGAUUAAAUACAGAGGAUCAUCACAACCUAGUGAUUGAACUGUGUUCAGGUGACUUCUACAGGCAACCUCUGCUGUAGCUACCUGUAGCUAUAGAUGUUUCUUCAUAGCAACCACCUGUGCUCCAGGCUAUAUCACCAAGAUCUUUACAGAAGAAACCUGUAAUUUUAGGCUGAGGCAUUUAUAAGUGGAAAGAGAUUUUAUCAAUCCCUUUAUAUUAUUUUUUUUUUCAAAAAGGAAAAAGGAAAUCUCCACAUUUUUCAUGGCAAAUUGAUGCAGAAAUAACUCAGUAGGACUCUGAUUUCUGCUAUGAAGUGGGUCAUAGUAAACAAUUGGAUUAAAUAGUCCCUUCCAGGUUAAAAAAAAAGGGAAAAAAUAAAAUGUGAAAUAAAGAAUUCAGACACAAAAUAGAACCUCAUGUUGUUUAAUGGCAAAGUCUUUUGCACAGGCAUCUCAGUUUCAGAGAGUAGAGAUUCAUUACAC